This 506-nucleotide ribosomal RNA is filed under the name uncultured bacterium. RNAcentral describes it as "partial 16S ribosomal RNA". It matches the Rfam family "Bacterial small subunit ribosomal RNA", at positions 29 to 523 of the family's 1533-position model. The record is from RNAcentral.
AUUGAACGCUGGCGGCAGGCCUAACACAUGCAAGUCGGACGGUAGCACAGAGGAGCUUGCUCUUCGGGUGACGAGUGGCGGACGGGUGAGUAAUGUCUGGGGAUCUGCCCGAUAGAGGGGGAUAACCACUGGAAACGGUGGCUAAUACCGCAUAACGUCGCAAGACCAAAGAGGGGGACCUUCGGGCCUCUCACUAUCGGAUGAACCCAGAUGGGAUUAGCUAGUAGGCGGGGUAACGGCCCACCUAGGCGACGAACCCUAGCUGGUCUGAGAGGAUGACCAGCCACACUGGAACUGAGACACGGUCCAGACUCCUACGGGAGGCAGCAGUGGGGAAUAUUGCACAAUGGGCGCAAGCCUGAUGCAGCCAUGCCGCGUGUAUGAAGUAGGCCUUCGGGUUGUAAAGUACUUUCAGCGGGGAGGAAGGCGAUGUGGUUAAUAACCGCGUCGAUUGACGUUACCCGCAGAAGAAGCACCGGCUAACUCCGUGCCAGCCGCCGCAGUAA